Molecule: ribosomal RNA, 749 nt
Filed under: Moesziomyces sp.
Lineage: Eukaryota; Fungi; Basidiomycota; Ustilaginomycetes; Ustilaginales; Ustilaginaceae
Description: eukaryotic LSU rRNA
Rfam family: Eukaryotic large subunit ribosomal RNA (bases 125-749)
Source: RNAcentral
GAUAAUAUCAGGACUUCGGAGAGCGGAGAGAAGGGUGAGAGCUGGACGCGACGUUUUGCUGGUUGGAGUGCUUCUGAACCCCGCCCAUGCCUUUCGCAAGAAAGGAAGGGAUUUUUCAAUUCAUCGGCCUCAGAUUGGUAGGACUACCCGCUGAACUUAAGCAUAUCAAUAAGCGGAGGAAAAGAAACUAACAAGGAUUCCCCUAGUAACGGCGAGUGAAGAGGGAAGAGCCCAAGAUUGAAAGCUGGCGUCUUCGGCGUCCGCAUUGUAAUCUCAAGAAGUGUUUUCCGCUUCGGACCAUGCCUAAGUCCCUUGGAAAAGGGCAUCAUAGAGGGUGAUAAUCCCGUACAUGGCAUGGAGCGCCCGAAGCUUUGUGAUACGCUUUCUAAGAGUCGAGUUGUUUGGGAAUGCAGCUCAAAAUGGGUGGUAAAUGCCAUCUAAGGCUAAAUAUUGGGGAGAGACCGAUAGCGAACAAGUACAGUGAUGGAAAGAUGAAAAGAACUUUGAAAAGAGAGUUAAACAGUACGUGAAAUUGCCAAAAGGGAAGGGUAGGAGGUCAGAGAUGCGGCCUGGGAUUCAGCCUUGCUUUUGCUUGGUGUUUUUCCCAGAUUGCAGGCCAACGUCGGUUUUGGGCACUGGAGAAGGGUAGGAGGAACGUGGCACCUCUCGGGGUGUGUUAUAGCCUCCUACUGGAUACAGCGACCGAGACCGAGGACAGCAGCGUACUCGCAAGAGCGGGCCUUCGGGCA